CAUUUAGGCUGAGCUGUGAUGGGGCGAAGACAUUGUGCCCUCGAGUCGUUGAUUUCCCACUGCCGAGAAAAGCCCCUAGAUAGAAAACAGGCGCCCGUACCGCACACCGACACAGGCAGUCAAGAUGAGAAUUCUAAGGUGCGCGAGCGAACUCUCGUUAAGGAACUCGGCAAAAUGACCCCGUAACUUCGGGAGCAGGGGUGCUCUUUAGGGUUAACGCCCAGACGAGCCGCAGUGAAUAGGCCCAAGCGUCGGUUUAUCACAAACACAGGUCUCUGCUC
Molecule: ribosomal RNA, 281 nt
Filed under: Staphylococcus aureus
Lineage: Bacteria; Bacillati; Bacillota; Bacilli; Caryophanales; Staphylococcaceae
Description: partial 23S ribosomal RNA
Rfam family: Bacterial large subunit ribosomal RNA
Source: RNAcentral